This 497-nucleotide ribosomal RNA is filed under the name uncultured bacterium. RNAcentral describes it as "partial 16S ribosomal RNA". It matches the Rfam family "Bacterial small subunit ribosomal RNA", at positions 28 to 507 of the family's 1533-position model. The record is from RNAcentral.
GAUGAACGCUGGCGGCGUGCCUAAUACAUGCAAGUCGAGCGAACAGACGAGGAGCUUGCUCCUCUGACGUUAGCGGCGGACGGGUGAGUAACACGUGGAUAACCUACCUAUAAGACUGGGAUAACUUCGGGAAACCGGAGCUAAUACCGGAUAAUAUAUUGAACCGCAUGGUUCAAUAGUGAAAGACGGUUUUGCUGUCCCUUAUAGAUGGAUCCGCGCCGCAUUAGCUAGUUGGUAAGGUAACGGCUUACCAAGGCGACGAUGCGUAGCCGACCUGAGAGGACGAGCAGCCACACUAGGACUGAGACACGGCCCAGACUCCGACGGGAGGCAGCAGGGGGGAAGUUUGGACAAUGGGGGCAACCCUGAUCCAGCCAUGCCGCGUGAGGGAAGAAGGCCUUCGGGUUGUAAACCGUUUUUGGGCGGGAAGAAAUCCGCGGGGCUAAUACACCGGGGGGAGGACGGUACCGGAAGAAGAAGCACCGGCUAACUACGUG